This is a long non-coding RNA of Sardina pilchardus (European sardine), 959 nucleotides long. RefSeq lists it as uncharacterized. The transcript has 5 exons. The record is from RefSeq and is a predicted model, not a curated record. Lineage: Eukaryota; Metazoa; Chordata; Actinopteri; Clupeiformes; Clupeidae.
ACACACACACACACACACACACACUCUACUCUGGUCUAACAGGCUUUUCAAGAUCUUGGUGCAUUCAGAGGGAUGGGGUCACCGAGAGUUAUAAACACAGCUCACUCCACAACUGCAGCUUCCUUCCUCCUUCAUCGGAAGUCAUUGGAGCCUCCCCUCUCAUGCUACACACAGAUAACACCAAACUGUAAUACAUGUAGGUGUUUACCCUUCAAAGUCAAGCCUAACCUGUAACGUUGUUCUGUCAUAUUCCAGCGUGCACUGUACUUCGAUUUGGCUACUAAAGGCCCUUGUUGCGCCUCCUGAAGACUGCACUGAAUCAUGGCUGGACAACAACAACCUCAGGGAUACAGUUUUAAUAUAUCAGCAAAUAAUGGAGAAAUUAUUAACCAUCCAAUCAUUAUUGGCAACAGAGUAGGGAGUGAUAUUCAAUGCCCAAUGAACAUCACUGAACCAUUAGGUGAUCAACAAAUAACACACGCACCACAAGUCUUCGAUAACCAAGUUCGAGGCACAAUCAACACUGAUGUAACUUAUAGUGAAGGGGCCAGACCUCAUCAGUGACGAAGGCUCUGCCUCUUCCCAGAUGAAAUGCUAACUCCACAAGAAGUCUCUCUUUUUUUGCAUUUGUUUGGUCUUCUUUGAUCCUCUACUCCCUGUGUAUAUAUUUUUCCUUGUUAUUUGUUGUAGAUAAUAUUUGUAUAAGGGGCCAUAAAACAUGAUAAUAUCUGUUAUAUCUCCAGAUUAUCUCCACGAUUUUCACUCAAUAGUCAUUAAAGCCUCGUUGAUUGUAUGUCAAUACAAUAGGCCCAAACCUUGAGUCAACAUAAUGCAAUAGCUUUUUUUUCAUUUACAUGGCUAGGAGUAUGAAACCUGUAGGCUAUCAAUGAUAUUUGUAUCAGUAUUCCAGAUAUUACACAUAAUAAAUGUUAAAAGUCCCUUACUGUCUGUUCCUCGUU